Molecule: ribosomal RNA, 498 nt
Filed under: uncultured bacterium
Lineage: Bacteria
Description: partial 16S ribosomal RNA
Rfam family: Bacterial small subunit ribosomal RNA
Source: RNAcentral
AUUGAACGCUGGCGGCAUGCCUUACACAUGCAAGUCGAACGGUAACGCGGGGCAACCUGGCGACGAGUGGCGAACGGGUGAGUAAUGCAUCAGAACGUGCCCAGUAGUGGGGGAUAGCCCGGCGAAAGCCGGAUUAAUACCGCAUACGACCUACGGGUGAAAGGGGGGGAUCGCAAGACCUCUCGCUAUCGGAGCGGCCGAUGUCAGAUUAGCUAGUUGGUGGGGUAAAGGCCUACCAAGGCGACGAUCUGUAGCUGGUCUGAGAGGACGACCAGCCACACUGGGACGGAGAGACGGCCCAGACUCCUACGGGAGGCAGCAGUGGGGAAUUUUGGACAAUGGGCGAAAGCCUGAUCCAGCCAUGCCGCGUGCGUGAAGAAGGCCUUCGGGUUGUAAACCGCUUUUGUCAGAGAAGAAAUCUUCUGAGUUAAUACCUCGGGAGGAUGACGGUACCUGAAGAAUAAGCACCGGCUAACUACGUGCCAGCAGCCGCAGUAA